Non-coding RNA from Paramuricea clavata, 281 nucleotides. Lineage: Eukaryota; Metazoa; Cnidaria; Anthozoa; Malacalcyonacea; Plexauridae. The record is from the annotation of a GenBank genome assembly.
AGAGUUUUAUACAACGGCCCCUGGUUAUUUCAGCAGCGAACGAAAAAGAGUUAACUACUUUUUAACUGCAGUUAGCGCUAACUACGUUUUUAUACAACCGGCCCCAGGUCUUUUAGCUGUUCUUAUUUAAGUCGCGUCUUAAAUAAGAAAUUUUGGACAAAAAUUCUAACUACACAUGCCAGAAACUUGAAACAACGUAAAAUUUAAAGCCUUGCAUAUUAAAACAAAAACAACCGAAACAACAUUAUAGCUAUAGCAAAUAAAUAAGACCAAAGCCGUAG